Molecule: transfer RNA, 74 nt
Filed under: Acidobacteriota bacterium
Lineage: Bacteria; Pseudomonadati; Acidobacteriota
Also listed under: 2 other names
Description: Acidobacteria bacterium (groundwater metagenome) tRNA-Arg
Rfam family: tRNA
About the family: Transfer RNA (tRNA) molecules are approximately 80 nucleotides in length. Their secondary structure includes four short double-helical elements and three loops (D, anti-codon, and T loops).
Source: RNAcentral
GGCCCCGUAGCUCAGAAGGAUAGAGCAGCGGUUUCCUAAACCGUUGGUCGGGGGUUCGAUUCCCUCCGGGGCUA